UACAGAGGGUGCAAGCGUUAAUCGGAAUUACUGGGCGUAAAGCGCGCGUAGGUGGUUGAAUAAGUUGGAUGUGAAAUCCCCGGGCUUAACCUGGGAAGGUCAUCCAGUACUGUUUAGCUAGAGUACAGUAGAGGGAAGUGGAAUUUCCGGUGUAGCGGUGAAAUGCGUAGAUAUCGGAAGGAACACCAGUGGCGAAGGCGGCUUCCUGGACUGAUACUGACACUGAGGCGCGAGAGCGUGGGGAGCGAACAGG
This 253-nucleotide ribosomal RNA is filed under the name uncultured bacterium. RNAcentral's name for it is "partial 16S ribosomal RNA". It matches the Rfam family "Bacterial small subunit ribosomal RNA", at positions 524 to 776 of the family's 1533-position model. The record is from RNAcentral.